AUGCAUGCUGCACUACACAACAUGAGGUGUUUGAGUUUGAGUCUCUGCAUUCUGACAGUACAAUGGCUAUUGACUUCAUGCGUGCAGGUCAUACAAGUCCACCAGGAACCAGAGAAUCUGAUUCUUUCCUAUGGAUCAUCACUGAAAAUUUCCUGCUCUAUAACUGGUACUGAUAACCCAUAUCUUUACUGGUAUCACUGGAACGAGACAGCAGGGUUCACACUGGUUUUCACCUCUAUUGCUACUGGUUUAAUGGAUCCAGACACUGUGGGUCAGUUUAAAUCUUACAGACAUAAAGAUCUUCAGAUCGUUCUGGGGUCUGAUGGAGUGACUGAGAUCGGCUCUGCAGUGUGGUACUGUGCAGCCAGACCCCACAGCAUCCUAGUGCCAUCACAGAGCUGUACAAAAACCACAUCUAAUCAAGACUGACGUUCUUUGCAUAUAUUUCACAGUGUUAAGAUCACAGAAAAAUAAAUGGAUAAAAGCAUAA
This is a non-coding RNA of Tachysurus vachellii, 490 nucleotides long. The record is from the annotation of a RefSeq genome assembly. Lineage: Eukaryota; Metazoa; Chordata; Actinopteri; Siluriformes; Bagridae.